Small nuclear RNA from Suncus etruscus (white-toothed pygmy shrew), 105 nucleotides. The record is from RefSeq and is a predicted model, not a curated record. Lineage: Eukaryota; Metazoa; Chordata; Mammalia; Eulipotyphla; Soricidae.
GUUCACUUCAGCAGCACCUAUACUAAAAUUGGAACAAUACAAGGAAGAUUAGCAUGGCCCCUGUACAAAGAUGACACAUAAAUUUGUGAGGCAUUUCAUAUUUUU